RNAcentral lists this transfer RNA (67 nucleotides) under Crepidodera pluta. RNAcentral describes it as "tRNA-Asp". The record is from RNAcentral. Lineage: Eukaryota; Metazoa; Arthropoda; Insecta; Coleoptera; Chrysomelidae.
AAAGAUUUAGUUAAAACCAUAACAUUAACUUGUCAAGUUAAAAUCAUUAAAAAAUUAAUAAUUUUUA